This 238-nucleotide ribosomal RNA is filed under the name uncultured bacterium. RNAcentral describes it as "partial 16S ribosomal RNA". It matches the Rfam family "Bacterial small subunit ribosomal RNA", at positions 796 to 1041 of the family's 1533-position model. The record is from RNAcentral.
CACGCCGUAAACGAUGGAUACUAGCUGUUGGGUGCAAACUCAGUGGCUAAGCGAAAGUGAUAAGUAUCCCACCUGGGGAGUACGUUCGCAAGAAUGAAACUCAAAGGAAUUGACGGGGGCCCGCACAAGCGGUGGAGCAUGUGGUUUAAUUCGAUGAUACGCGAGGAACCUUACCAAGGCUUAAAUGUAGUUUGACAGAUUUGGAAACAGAUUUUUCUUCGGACAAAUUACAAGGUGC